GCUCUGCUUGCUCUCUCUCUCACUUCCUCCUCUGUCCCAUCACAUUUCAACAUAUAUUUUUUUCAUUUUCAAAUGCAAGAUUUGGAUUAUGCCCAUUUGCUUAUGAACGGGUCGACAUGGAUUAGCUUUCUUGAUUUGCUCUGGAGUUGCAUCUGGAAGCUGAUUAGAGAGAAGAAACACUAAUUAUUAUUAUUAUUAUUGCUGAGAUAAAAUUAAUGAAUUCAUGGGAAAUUAGUCACCUUGUCUGUUUAUACAUUAUGUACUCAUAUAUCAGACAUAAUUAUUCUCCGUAUGAGAUAGCAAGAGAAUCAACAUAUGUCGUGGUCAACGAAAAUAUUUUCUUCAGCAGCUGGUAUAUAUUUACAGUGUCUUCAACUUCUACUAUGUAAAGUUGUUUUCAAUCAACAUUGAGAAUUCUAAAGACUAAAAGAGGGUAUUGUUACCAAACAUGGAUCCUAUCCUUCAACACUUAAAAUUGAUGAUUAAGGCAUCCCUCUAAAUAUAGUUAUAGGUUACUUGAUUUCCACAGAGAAAACUCAUCCACCUGGAAUAUUAUCGACCACUUGAUGUUUUUAAUAUGUAUCGUACUUCCAAGGUAAGUGACUAAACCUUAAUAUAUCUUCUACAAGUGUUUAUUUUCAUUUGUUUUCUACAGUAGAAUUCAUUGGGUAUUGAAGUUUGCGUACACGAUUGUCAUAGUCAAAGAUUAGUAUAGUAUUUCAUACAGCUGGUCCAUGAAAGCAAAUAUUUUUGUGGUAAAACUAAAAUCACUUGGCCUAUAAGGUAUGGAGACGAGACGAGACGAGACGGGAGGUGGACAGAAAUUAAGGAAAAAAUAAGUGAUUGUAAUGGAGUUCUAGCUGCAGCUUCAAAGUAAUGGAGUUCUAGCUGCAGCUUCAAAGUAAAGAUUAAGUAUGGCAAAUUAAUUGUUGGUGUUUCAAGACCAGGCAUAUGGCAAGGUGUGAGGGAGGCUAUCUAUCUAUCUAUCUAUCUAUGUACAACUCACUAUAAGUAGAUUUCAGAACACUGGGGUGGGUGAUCCCAUUUC
Molecule: long non-coding RNA, 1048 nt
Filed under: Helianthus annuus (common sunflower)
Lineage: Eukaryota; Viridiplantae; Streptophyta; Magnoliopsida; Asterales; Asteraceae
Description: hypothetical non coding rna
Source: RNAcentral